CUCGGUUGAGAGCUCACAGCUAACCGUUGGUUCCGUUAAGAGCCUGAAAGAGCUUAUAAAAUCUGGACAAACGCUGAGACUGGAAAAAAAAAAUCCCCGUUAGCAUCAGAGACGUCAGAGCGAUGGAUGAUAGUUUCUGCAGAGGAAGUUGUCAUCCCUCCACCCCUCCCCACUCAACCCUUUCACGAGACACUUGUUUUCUCCGGAGACUGAGGUGCCUGAUGAAAGCAAGCCUUCUUCUGAGAAAAUUGGGUGUUGACAGUCGCCUCAUUUCCCUC
Molecule: long non-coding RNA, 278 nt
Organism: Poeciliopsis prolifica (blackstripe livebearer)
Lineage: Eukaryota; Metazoa; Chordata; Actinopteri; Cyprinodontiformes; Poeciliidae
Exons: 3
Source: RefSeq, a predicted model, not a curated record